GACGAACGUUGGCGGCGUGCUUAAUACAUGCAAGUCAACUGAAGCACCGGUAGUAAUACUGGUGUGGAGGUGGCGCACGGGUGAGUAACACGUAGGUAAUCUGCCUUCAGGUCUGACAUAACCCCGAGAAAUCGGGGCUAAUAGCAGAUGAUGCAGCGGCUUGACAUCAAGACAGUUGUUAAAGCUUCGGCGCCUGAAGAUGAGCCCUGCGUCUGAUUAGCUAGUUGGCGGAGUAAUGGCCCACCAAGGCUACGAUCAGUAACUGGUCUGAGAGGAUGAUCAGUCACACUGGAACUGAGACACGGUCCAGACUCCUACGGGAGGCAGCAGUAAGGAAUAUUGCUCAAUGGGAGAAAUCCUGAAGCAGCAACGCCGCGUGAGGGAUGAAGGGCUUUUGCUCGUAAACCUCUGUAGUGAGGGAAAAAAUUUCCACUCUGUGGAAUAUGAUGGUACCUCAAAACGUAAGACCCCGGCUAACU
This 479-nucleotide ribosomal RNA is filed under the name uncultured bacterium. Its description in RNAcentral is "bacterial SSU rRNA". It matches the Rfam family "Bacterial small subunit ribosomal RNA", at positions 28 to 502 of the family's 1533-position model. The record is from RNAcentral.